AAGUCGCAACAAGGUUUCCGUAGGUGAACCUGCGGAAGGAUCAUUAGUGAAGAUUGAGCGCUCGUAAGAGGCUCGCUACACUUAUUCACACACUGUGCACUUGGAGAACACUUGUCCUUAGACAUUUACUUGUCUUUCGACACUUUAAUACACUUGUAAUUUAAAAAGUUGAUGAUGUACAAAAUAUCAUAAAGUUUAAAUAA
This 203-nucleotide unclassified non-coding RNA is filed under the name plant metagenome. RNAcentral describes it as "partial contains small subunit ribosomal RNA and internal transcribed spacer 1". The stretch from base 1 to 46 matches the Rfam family "Eukaryotic small subunit ribosomal RNA", at positions 1786 to 1831 of the family's 1831-position model. The record is from RNAcentral.